This 217-nucleotide long non-coding RNA is filed under the name Setaria viridis. RNAcentral's name for it is "long non-coding RNA (SVIR_LNC001377)". The record is from RNAcentral. Lineage: Eukaryota; Viridiplantae; Streptophyta; Magnoliopsida; Poales; Poaceae.
GAGGAUGUGGUAGUAUUCCUCAUUUAUAGGAAUCAUGUAAUAUAUACUAGUGCGGCCUAACUUGCCACUCCUGUUCUUCAGAAACACAGGAGGAGGGGAAAAUAAGGAUGAAAGACUAGGCUAUCAGGAUGGAAGACACUAGGAAAUAGGCUACCACGAAAGGUCCUCAUCCAUGUUCCAUGUGGAUGUUACUUGUUACACUAGCAAUUAUAAGGAG